Molecule: non-coding RNA, 184 nt
Filed under: Sedimenticola thiotaurini
Lineage: Bacteria; Pseudomonadati; Pseudomonadota; Gammaproteobacteria; Chromatiales; Sedimenticolaceae
Also listed under: 1 other name
Description: 6S RNA
Rfam family: 6S / SsrS RNA
About the family: E. coli 6S RNA was the first non coding RNA to be sequenced, but its function was unknown until recently. It consists of 184 nucleotides that fold into an extended hairpin structure with a large single-stranded internal bulge.
Source: RNAcentral
UAUCCCCUGCGGUGUUUGUAAGCGAAUCGGGUAUUUUCUUGAGCCUAUUCAUUACCCCGGGGACUUAAUGGGAAUGACAUUGUGCAUGUCCGCUUCUUGCGGAAAGCCUUAAUCUUCCUUGUUGUCCCCACUUGAACCUACCGGUUCAAGAACGAUGAUUUGCUACGGCACAGGUGGGGGAUAC